RNAcentral lists this ribosomal RNA (535 nucleotides) under uncultured Pseudomonadota bacterium. RNAcentral's name for it is "bacterial SSU rRNA". It matches the Rfam family "Bacterial small subunit ribosomal RNA", at positions 8 to 522 of the family's 1533-position model. The record is from RNAcentral. Lineage: Bacteria; Pseudomonadati; Pseudomonadota.
AGAGUUUGAUCAUGGCUCAGAGCGAACGCUGGCGGCGUGCCUAACACAUGCAAGUCGAACGUGAACAGGGGCAACCCUUAGUAAAGUGGCGUACGGGUGAGUAACACGUAGGUAAUCUACCAAAGUGUCUGGAAUAACCGGCCGAAAGGCUGGCUAAUACUGGAUAGAGCGACGGGAUCCGUAAACGGAUCUUUCGGGAAAGGGAGGCAGCAAUGCCCUUCGCACUUUGAUGAGCCUGCGUCUCAUUAGCUAGUUGGUGGGGUAAUGGCCCACCAAGGCAUUGAUGAGUAGCUGGUCUGAGAGGAUGAUCAGCCACACUGGGACUGAAACACGGUCCAGACUCCUACGGGAGGCAGCAGUGGGGAAUCUUGCGCAAUGGACGAAAGUCUGACGCAGCCACGCCGCGUGAGUGAAGAAGGCCUUCGGGUUGUAAAGCUCUGUCGCCCGGGACGAACAUCCAUUGGGUUAAUAGCCCAGUGGACUGACGGUACCGGGAAAGGAAGCACCGGCUAACUCUGUGCCAGCAGCCGCGGUA